This 279-nucleotide ribosomal RNA is filed under the name uncultured bacterium. RNAcentral's name for it is "partial 16S ribosomal RNA". It matches the Rfam family "Bacterial small subunit ribosomal RNA", at positions 506 to 784 of the family's 1533-position model. The record is from RNAcentral.
UGCCAGCCGCCGCGGUAAUACGGAAGGUCCUAGCGUUGUUCGGAAUUACUGGGCGUAAAGCGCAUGUAGGCGGAACAGAAAGUUAGAAGUGAAAUCCCUGGGCUCAACCUAGGAAUUGCUUUUAAAACUUCUGUUCUGGAAUUCAGGAGAGGAAAAUGGAAUAUCCAGUGUAGAGGUGAAAUUCGUAGAUAUUGGAUGGAACACCAGUGGCGAAGGCGAUUUUCUGGGCUAUUACUGACACUCAGAGACGAAAGCUAGGGUAGCAAAUGGGAUUAGAUA